GAUGAACGCUAGCGAUAGGCUUAACACAUGCAAGUCGAGGGGCAGCAUGGUCUUAGCUUGCUAAGGCUGAUGGCGACCGGCGCACGGGUGCGUAACGCGUAUGCAACUUGCCUCACAGAGGGGGAUAACCCGUCGAAAGACGGACUAAUACCGCGUACACUCUAUGUUGGGCAUCCAAUGUAGAGGAAAUGAAAUUCGCUGUGAGAUAGGCAUGCGUCCCAUUAGCUAGUUGGUGAGGUAACGGCUCACCAAGGCGACGAUGGGUAGGGGAACUGAGAGGUUGAACCCCCACGCUGGUACUGAGACACGGACCAGACGCCUACGGGAGGCAGCAGUGAGGAAUAUUGGUCAAUGGGCGAGAGCCUGAACCAGCCAAGUCGCGUGAAGGAUGACUGUCUUAUGGAUUGUAAACUUCUUUUAUACGGGAAUAACAAGAGUCACGUGUGGCUCCCUGCAUGUACCGUAUGAAUAAGCAUCGGCUAACUCCGUG
This 490-nucleotide ribosomal RNA is filed under the name uncultured bacterium. Its description in RNAcentral is "partial 16S ribosomal RNA". It matches the Rfam family "Bacterial small subunit ribosomal RNA", at positions 28 to 507 of the family's 1533-position model. The record is from RNAcentral.